RNAcentral lists this ribosomal RNA (369 nucleotides) under uncultured organism. RNAcentral describes it as "bacterial SSU rRNA". It matches the Rfam family "Bacterial small subunit ribosomal RNA", at positions 526 to 896 of the family's 1533-position model. The record is from RNAcentral.
CGGAGGGUGCAAGCGUUAUCCGGAUUCACUGGGUUUAAAGGGUGUGUAGGCGGGUAUUUAAGUCAGUGGUGAAAUCUCCGGGCUCAACCCGGAAACUGCCAUUGAUACUAUUUAUCUUGAAUUCUGUUGAGGUAGGCGGAAUAUAUCAUGUAGCGGUGAAAUGCUUAGAUAUGAUAUAGAACACCGAUUGCGAAGGCAGCUUACUAAACAGACAUUGACGCUGAGGCACGAAAGCGUGGGGAUCAAACAGGAUUAGAUACCCUGGUAGUCCACGCCCUAAACGAUGAUUACUCGACAUACGCGAUAUUACUGUGUGUGUCUGAGCGAAAGCAUUAAGUAAUCCACCUGGGAAGUACGUCCGCAAGGAUG